Molecule: ribosomal RNA, 475 nt
Filed under: uncultured bacterium
Lineage: Bacteria
Description: SSU rRNA
Rfam family: Bacterial small subunit ribosomal RNA
Source: RNAcentral
AGGACGAACGCUGGCGGCGUGCUUAACACAUGCAAGUCGAGCGGAAAGGCCCUUCGGGGUACUCGAGCGGCGAACGGGUGAGUAACACGUGAGUAAUCUGCCCCUAGCUCUGGGAUAGCUCCGGGAAAACCGGGAUUAAUACCAGAUACGACCACUUUAGACAUCUUCUGUGGUGGAAAGAACUUCGGCUAGGGAUGAACUCGCGGCCUAUCAGCUUGUUGGUGAGGUAACGGCUCACCAAGGCGACGACGGGUAGCCGGCCUGAGAGGGCGACCGGCCACACUGGGACUGAGACACGGCCCAGACUCCUACGGGAGGCAGCAGUGGGGAAUAUUGCGCAAUGGGCGAAAGCCUGACGCAGCGACGCCGCGUGGGGGAUGAAGGCCUUCGGGUUGUAAACCCCUUUCAGCAGGGACGAAGCGAAAGUGACGGUACCUGCAGAAGAAGCGCCGGCUAACUACGUGCCAGCAGCCGC